AGUUGAGGGGCGAGCGCCCGCCCGCCCGCUGCAGGGACGCCCCGCCAACGCCACUGCCGCUUCAGCUGGAUGGCUGGAUCCAUGAGAAGAUGCUGAUGGCGCGGGAUGGCACGCGGGAGGACAGCCACAAGCUGCAUAAGAGAUGGCUCCGGCACCAGGCAUUCAUGGCCGAGCUGGCUCAGAAUAAGGAGUGGCUGGAGAAGAUCGAGAGGGAGGGCCAGCAACUGAUGCAGGAGAAGCCCGAACUGGCGGCCUCCGUGCGGAAGAAGCUGGGCGAGAUCCGCCAGUGCUGGGCGGAGCUGGAGAGCACCACCCAGGCCAAGGCACGGCAGCUCUUUGAGGCCAGCAAAGCAGACCAGCUGGUGCAGAGCUUUGCUGAGCUGGACAAGAAGCUCCUUCACAUGGAAAGCCAGCUGCAAGACGUGGACCCUGGAGGGGACCUGGCCACCGUCAACAGUCAACUCAAGAAGCUGCAGUCCAUGGAGUCGCAGGUGGAGGAGUGGUACCGUGAGGUGGGAGAGCUGCAGGCGCAGACGGCAGCGCUGCCGCUGGAGCCGGCGAGCAAGGAGCUGGUGGGCGAGCGGCAGAACGCGGUGGGCGAGCGCCUGGUGCGCCUGCUCGAGCCGUUGCAGGAGCGCCGCCGCUUGCUGCUGGCCUCCAAGGAGUUGCACCAGGUGGCGCACGACCUGGACGACGAGCUGGCAUGGGUUCAGGAGCGGCUGCCACUGGCCAUGCAGACAGAGCGAGGCAACGGUUUGCAGGCGGUCCAGCAGCACAUCAAAAAAAACCAGGGCCUGCGGCGGGAGAUCCAGGCGCACGGGCCGCGCCUGGAGGAGGUGCUGGAGCGCGCGGGCGCGCUGGCGUCGCUGCGCAGCCCGGAGGCAGAGGCAGUGCGCCGGGGCCUGGAGCAGCUGCAGAGCGCCUGGGCCGGACUGCGGGAGGCUGCCGAGCGACGACAGCAGGCGCUGGACGCCGCCUUCCAGGUGGAGCAGUACUACUUCGACGUGGCUGAGGUGGAGGCGUGGCUGGGCGAGCAGGAGCUGCUCAUGAUGAGUGAGGACAAGGGCAAGGACGAACAGAGCACCCUGCAGCUGCUCAAGAAACACCUGCAGCUGGAGCAAGGCGUGGAGAACUACGAGGAAAGCAUUGCGCAGCUGUCGCGCCAGUGCCGGGCGCUGCUGGAGAUGGGGCACCCGGACAGGUGGGCGGGCGGGCGGGGGCGGGGGCGUGGCCGGUUCACAGGAAUGGUCCAGCAGGACCUGAAGCUUCGCUGUUGGGAGUUGGCACAGCGCUGGAAUUGGACGUUGGGUGGGAGAGGUCCUCCUUGCUGUGUGCUGGAGCCCUCGAAUUUGGCAAGUGGGCGGGCCGGAAUGGGGGGACACAGCCCAGGGAUGGUUGAGAGGGUGGGGCCAGGAGCACCUGGAUUUGAGUGUAGUAGUGGGGACCUUGUCGGGGGAGAAAAGAGGAGGCGAUGUCUAGGACUGGGGUAGAGAAGAAUUUGCUCAGGACAGGCAAGAGACUCUUUCUAUCCACUGUCUGGGAGGACAGAAAAGCCUGUGCUGAGAUUGGCUAUGGGGGUGGGGCUGGAGACCUCCUGGUGCAGUGGGGUGAUGUUGCCUUGUGUAGGCAGGUGCUGAGCUCCAGGCCUGGACCAGGGAUGGAAUCUGAAAGGAGGUACACAGAGAGACCUCUGUCCAAGUGGGCUCAGAGAUUGGGGCUAGAGGUGGGAUGAAUUGGCUGGGGACCCAACCUGGGAGUCCAGAGUCCCACCGAGGUUCCUGGAUAGGAGGGGCGUGAGACUGAGAUAGAAACUGGGUGAGGCUGCCGAGGUGGGCGGAUCACUUGAGGUCAGGAGUUGGAGACCAGCUUGG
This 1871-nucleotide small RNA is filed under the name Pongo abelii (Sumatran orangutan). RNAcentral describes it as "retained intron". Lineage: Eukaryota; Metazoa; Chordata; Mammalia; Primates; Hominidae. The record is from RNAcentral.